UAUGUGGCUCUUGAUGGGGACGUGUCCCCGAACAUUCCACAGGGGAAUGCACCUUGCCUCUUGGCAAAAAAUAAACAGUCAAAAAUGUGUGUGGUAGGUUAAUUUUCGAAGCACAUAGAUUUC
RNAcentral lists this non-coding RNA (123 nucleotides) under unclassified sequences. RNAcentral's name for it is "RT-3 RNA". It matches the Rfam family "RT-3 RNA". The record is from Rfam by way of RNAcentral.